Molecule: ribosomal RNA, 253 nt
Filed under: uncultured bacterium
Lineage: Bacteria
Description: partial 16S ribosomal RNA
Rfam family: Bacterial small subunit ribosomal RNA
Source: RNAcentral
UACAGAGGGGGCUAGCGUUGUUCGGAAUUACUGGGCGUAAAGGGCGCGUAGGCGGUGUGUCAAGUCAGGCGUGAAAGCCCCGGGCUCAACCUGGGAACAGCGCUUGAGACUGGCACGCUCGAGUUCGGGAGAGGAUGGUGGAAUUCCCAGUGUAGAGGUGAAAUUCGUAGAUAUUGGGAAGAACACCGAUGGCGAAGGCAGCCAUCUGGACCGACACUGACGCUGAGGCGCGAAAGCGUGGGGAGCAAACAGG